CCUAAGGUAGCGAAAUUCCUUGUCGGGUAAGUUCCGACCUGCACGAAUGGCGUAACGACUUCCCCACUGUCUCGACCAGGAGCUCGGCGAAAUUGCAGUACGAGUAAAGAUGCUCGUUAAGCGCAGAAGGACGAAAAGACCCCGGGACCUUUACUAUACCUUGGUAUUGGCGUUAGGCGCGGAUUGUGUAGCAUAGGCGGGAGGCUUCGAAGCAUGGGCGCCAGCCCGUGUGGAGCCGCAAGGUGAAAUACCGCUCUGUUCUCGUUUGACGUCUAACCUCGAACAGUCAUCCUGUUCAGGGACAGUGCCUGGCGGGUAGUUUAACUGGGGCGGUUGCCUCCCAAAGAGUAACGGAGGCGCUCAAAGGUCCGCUCAGCCCGGUUGGCAAUCGGGUUUCGAGUGUAAUCGCACAAGCGGGCUUGACUGCGAGAACGACGGUUCGGGCAGGGACGAAAGUCGGAGAUAGUGAUCCGGUGCCGGCGCACGGGCGCGGCAUCGCUCAACGGAUAAAAGGUACCCCGGGGAUAACAGGCUGAUCAUUCCCAAGAGUCCAUAUCGACGGGAUGGUUUGGCACCUCGAUGUCGGCUCGUCGCAUCCUGGGGCUGGAGCAGGUCCCAAGGGUUCGGCUGUUCGCCGAUUAAAGCGGCACGCGAGCUGGGUUCAGAACGUCGUGAGACAGUUUGGUCUCUAUCCUCUGCGCUCGUUGGAAUGCUGAGGAGGCCUGCCCAUAGUACGAGAGGACCUGGGUGGACGAACCUCUGGUAUGCCGGUUGUCACGCCAGUGGCACGGCCGGUUGGCUACGUUCGGAAGGGAUAACCGCUGAAAGCAUCUAAGCGGGAAGCCUGCUCCAAGAUAAGCAUUCCGUGGAACCUUCGAGUUCCUGUAGUCCCCAUGCAGAACACGUGGUCGAUAGGCCGGACGUGGAAGCCCCGCGAGGGGUGGAGCCGACCGGUACUAACGGACGAAAGGCAACACUGA
This 980-nucleotide ribosomal RNA is filed under the name human gut metagenome. Its description in RNAcentral is "bacterial LSU rRNA". It matches the Rfam family "Bacterial large subunit ribosomal RNA", at positions 1950 to 2925 of the family's 2925-position model. The record is from RNAcentral.